AAAACUCACAUUAAUAAUGCAACCCACAAGCAUUCUGGUUAUUUUUACAUGUGGAUUUUAACUCAGAUACUUUCCAUAGUUGAAUUUUAAAAUGACAACUGAUUUUGACAUUCAGCAAAGCAGGAAGUUAAGGUGUAGUUUUAGGAUCUCUCACAUCUGCGUCUGAGGCUGAGGUUCUCCUGGGUAAGGAGGCUGCUACCCUGAGUCCAGGUCUGCUCUGUCCUACCCUAGGGAUUGUAUGAUGUUGUGUGGUUUGAGAGAAGCUAUUUUUCUCUGUUACUUCCCUUCCGUGAAGGUAGAAGCUCUGAGUGUCACUACUGGUGGGAAAAGUUUAGUUUUUAUUAAUAGUUAUUGCCUUGAUAGUCCCAGUGAACUAUGUAAAUAAUAGCACUCCCCCAAAAAGAGUUAAAAAAUUUUAAGGAGGUUCUUUUUAAUGAAAGCAAUGAUUUGGUCAUAAGACAAUCUAAGAGUAUGAUUGAUACACAUGGUGUGGCUCAUUUAAAUGAACGUAGAGUGGAUGGUGUGAGGCCACACAUUUGCAUCAGAAGCAGUGACUCUGUUACAACAAAGUAGUUCUGGAGACUUUGAGUUUUUAGGAUGAGCUUACCAUGAGUCUUUAAUGUGCAUAAUGUAAAUGGAAAGUGAUGCUCUCUCUAGGAAGUCAGGAAGUACCCAGCACAGGAGCCGUGUGGUUUUUAAGUUAUGGUGGUCUUGCUUUGCUGUUUAUGCUGAGAGUCCUCAGGCUGUGGAGAGAGGUGCUUUCCCAGGUCAGGGCUGGACAGCUACCCAGAUGAAGCACACUGGUCAUUGCAUCAGAGUUGUAUGCACAGAGAGAUACAGGCUGUGCUUUCUGUGUUGAGAAACUCUCGGUUAUUUAAUUUUUCCAGUAUGUGUUCUCAUAACUGAUAAUUAUGUUACAUAUCCUUGUGUUUUAGUAACUGUUUCUAUAAUUGAGUAGUCAAUGUAAAAAAAGAAACUGAAAUACUAUUUUUACUACAGAAUGUCCUCAAUUAAUGAGUUUCAUCUGUUAUGGAAAUAUGUGCAUUCAUUUUCUGGAUAAAGUCACCAUGGUCAUUUAAUUGUAUCUGCUCUUGGUGUAAUUGAACAAGGUUUGUUUGGUCUCUUCCUACAGUGUUAUCCAAGCUACUGUUUUUCAUGUAAUUUUAACAUUCUUGAUAGUGCCACUUAAAAGCCACAGGAAUCAUCGUAGUUUAAUUGCCCAGCCUUAGAUAGUACUGAUUUUGUAUAGUCAAGAAGAUAAAAAUUCUUUCCUUUAGGAUUUUAUAACAUAAAACAAGAAGUAAAGGGGAAAUUGGGGCCAGGGUAAUGAACGGGGCUGGAUCUUAGUUUUCCCCUUUCUCUCUCAGAAUAUGAAGCAGGGAGCAUUGUGUGUUCACUGUGUGUGCUUGUGUGCAGCUCUAGAGGGGCCAUGGGAAGAAUGUGGCUUAGUAGGGACCAAGAAACACGAUGCCAGCACAGUCCCUGGGAUCAGUUCUCUGUGUGGCUGUACUUGAGCACUUGCUUAAGGCAAGGCAGAUUGUUUUGUUCCCUCUGUCGUCCCUUUUCAUAUUUACUUCCUUCUUGUGCUCUAAAACUUUUGUCAAUCCUUAACAAAACUGUGUUCUUGCCUUUUUAAAUGUUAAAAGAAUUUCAAUAUUGUCAACUGUAGUUUGCCUGUAUGAAAAUGUACAGUGUGUGUCAAUAUAUCUGCUAAUACUAUUAA
This 1723-nucleotide long non-coding RNA is filed under the name Rattus norvegicus (Norway rat). RNAcentral describes it as "long non-coding RNA NONRATT002174". Lineage: Eukaryota; Metazoa; Chordata; Mammalia; Rodentia; Muridae. The record is from RNAcentral.